GAUGAACGCUAGCGGCAGGCCUAAUACAUGCAAGUCGAACGGGAUCUGAGGGUAGCUUGCUACCCGAUUUGAGAGUGGCGCACGGGUGCGUAACGCGUGAGCAACCUACCCAUAUCAGGGGGAUAGCCCGAAGAAAUUCGGAUUAACACCGCAUAAUAAUACGCCAACACAUGUUGAUGUAUUUAAAUAUUUAUAGGAUAUGGAUGGGCUCGCGUGACAUUAGCCAGUUGGUAAGGUAACGGCUUACCAAGGCGACGAUGUCUAGGGGCUCUGAGAGGAGAAUCCCCCACACUGGUACUGAGACACGGACCAGACUCCUACGGGAGGCAGCAGUAAGGAAUAUUGGUCAAUGGGCGCAAGCCUGAACCAGCCAUGCCGCGUGCAGGAUGACUGCCCUAUGGGUUGUAAACUGCUUUUGUUAGGGAAUAAACCUUCUUACGUGUAAGGAGCUGAAUGUACCUAAAGAAUAAGGAUCGGCUAACUCCGUGCCAGCAGCAGCCGCGG
RNAcentral lists this ribosomal RNA (504 nucleotides) under uncultured bacterium. Its description in RNAcentral is "partial 16S ribosomal RNA". It matches the Rfam family "Bacterial small subunit ribosomal RNA", at positions 28 to 523 of the family's 1533-position model. The record is from RNAcentral.